UCGGACGUGGUGCACGGCGCACACCCGCUUUCCGUAAAUAUCUGGUAAAACUGCGGCGGGAAGCCUGGGUUCGACUCCCAGCGUCCGAA
Mycena rosella is the source of this 89-nucleotide non-coding RNA. NCBI's taxonomy places the organism in Eukaryota, Fungi, Basidiomycota, Agaricomycetes, Agaricales, Mycenaceae. The record is from the annotation of a GenBank genome assembly.